UCCCAAGAAGAAUAUUUUUUUCCAGUGAAACGAACACUGAAGGAUUCAAAGUGAUGUGAAUUCAUGCUUUUGAAUAGCUAUAAAACUACAAAGACUCAAGAAAGCAACUAGAAUGACCAAGAACAAAAUUCCCAAGAGGUAGCCAAAAACCAAGAUUUUCAAAAAAAAUUAAAAGGAACCACAGAUGACUCUAUGAAACAAGACAGCCAAGAGAAGGCUCUAAUACCAUGUCAAUUUUCAGCUGAAUCCCUCUCAAAGUGAGAGAGUCUUUCCAUUAUAUAGAGAAAAUAAAGAUUACACAUCCCUAAAGAUCCGCCAUUCCUAUCCCUAAAGAUCAUCUAUUCUAUCUAUACAAAUCUGCCAUUGAAUCCCUCUAAAUCUGCCUUGCUAUCCCUCCAAAUCAGCUAUUCUAUCACAAUAUUUAUUCAUAUGAUUCUACAACAAAUGUAUAUGAUCAUGCUAAUUUAUAUCACUAUAUAAUUACAUUAAUAUAUACAAUCAUUUAGUUA
Molecule: long non-coding RNA, 509 nt
Filed under: Solanum tuberosum (potato)
Lineage: Eukaryota; Viridiplantae; Streptophyta; Magnoliopsida; Solanales; Solanaceae
Description: long non-coding RNA (STUB_LNC007293)
Source: RNAcentral